UGGGGAAUCUUGGACAAUGGAGGAAACUCUGAUCCAGCAAUUCUGUGUGUGUGAAGAAGGUUUUAGGACUGUAAAACACUUUUAGUAGGGAAGCAAAAAAUGACGGUACCUACAGAAGAAGCAACGGCUAAAUACGUGCCAGCAGCCGCGGUAAUACGUAUGUUGCGAGCGUUAUCCGGAAUUAUUGGGAUUAAAGGGCAUCUAGGCGGUAAGACAAGUUGAAGGUGAAAACCUGUGGCUCAACCAUAGGCUUGCAUACAAAACUGUUGAACUAGAGUAAUAGAAAGGUGGGUGGAACUACAAGAGUAGAGGUGAAAUUCGUAGAUAUGUGUAGGAAUGCCGAUGAUGAAGAUAACUCACUGGACAGAAACUGACGCUGAAGUGCGAAAGCUAGGGGAGCAAACAGG
RNAcentral lists this ribosomal RNA (407 nucleotides) under Verrucomicrobiota bacterium. RNAcentral's name for it is "Verrucomicrobia bacterium partial 16S ribosomal RNA". It matches the Rfam family "Bacterial small subunit ribosomal RNA", at positions 355 to 776 of the family's 1533-position model. Lineage: Bacteria; Pseudomonadati; Verrucomicrobiota. The record is from RNAcentral.